GUGGCGACUCAGAUUAUCUCAUUCUUGUUGCUGGUUAAAGUUGGAAGAUUAAGGGAUUUGAAAUAAAAAGGCACCACAGAGAAGAUGCUAGUGCCAUUUUCCCUUGAUUUUAGGAAGAAGAUUGAAUCGGCAGUGCCCGAGUCUGUGCAGAUGACAUCGCCAUGGCGAAUUUGAUUUUGAUGUAGAACCUGAUUCUAGCUGAGGAGAAGCACAUACCGAGUUGGGUUUCAUGUGUAAAGUAAUAACUCUCUUUUCUUAUUCUAGAAUUUCAUUUGUAAGAUAAGUAAUUAGUAGAAGCAGACCUAUAGAUCCUUCAUCUUGUAUGCUAUGUACAUAGGCCCUAUUGCUAAACAUGAUACAUUGAAUCAGGCAUAAUUGAGUCCAGAUUUAAUGUGAUAUCCCAAUGCAUGACAUUUUAAUUUCCCCAACUUAGGUGUUUUUGAAGCUCCAAACUCCAGUGGAACAUAAGUAGAAUUGUCAUUAUUGUUUUAACAUUCACCUAUUUAUUUAUUUCUUUGCUUUCCCUUGGUCA
Impatiens glandulifera is the source of this 532-nucleotide long non-coding RNA. RefSeq lists it as uncharacterized. The transcript has 2 exons. The record is from RefSeq and is a predicted model, not a curated record. NCBI's taxonomy places the organism in Eukaryota, Viridiplantae, Streptophyta, Magnoliopsida, Ericales, Balsaminaceae.